AGCCUGGUGGCGGAUGGUCAGCACCCACAUAUAAUAUCGGGUAUGUUCAGGCUUACGCAAGUGGGUACCCUCGUUCGAAUCGGGGCCAGGCUA
Non-coding RNA from Mycena latifolia, 93 nucleotides. Lineage: Eukaryota; Fungi; Basidiomycota; Agaricomycetes; Agaricales; Mycenaceae. The record is from the annotation of a GenBank genome assembly.